Molecule: ribosomal RNA, 501 nt
Filed under: uncultured bacterium
Lineage: Bacteria
Description: partial 16S ribosomal RNA
Rfam family: Bacterial small subunit ribosomal RNA
Source: RNAcentral
AUUGGACGCUGGCGGCAUGCCUUACACAUGCAAGUCGAACGGCAGCACGGGUGCUUGCACCUGGUGGCGAGUGGCGAACGGGGGAGUAAUACAUCGGAACGUACCUUAUCGUGGGGGAUAACGCAGCGAAAGCUGUGCUAAUACCGCAUACGCCCUGAGGGGGAAAGAGGGGGGGCGAAAGAGCCCGCGCGAUUAGAGCGGCCCAUGCCUGAUUAGCUUGUUGGGGGGGUAAAAGCCCACCAAGGCGACGAUCAGUAGCUGGUCUGAGAGGACGAUCAGCCACACUGGGACUGAGACACGGCCCAGACUCCUACGGGAGGCAGCAGUGGGGAAUUUUGGACAAUGGGGGCAACCCUGAUCCAGCAAUGCCGCGUGAGUGAAGAAGGCCUUCGGGUUGUAAAGCUCUUUUGUCAGGGAAGAAACACCGGCUCUAACACAGUCCGGGAAUGACGGUACCUGAAGAAUAAGCACCGGCUAACUACGUGCCAGCCGCCGCCGUAA